UGAGGCCGGUGAUGAUUUUGAAAUAUUUUGCCUACAUUGCAUGAUUAUCUUUCUAAGAUAAUGAUUUAUCUCACAUAUCUGAGGCCUUU
Molecule: non-coding RNA, 89 nt
Organism: Corylus avellana
Lineage: Eukaryota; Viridiplantae; Streptophyta; Magnoliopsida; Fagales; Betulaceae
Source: RefSeq, a predicted model, not a curated record